GGUAUAUGUGAUAAAAACUGAGCAGUGCACUGACACGACUUGUAUAAAUAGUGCAUGCAAAUCAUUCAGUGAACGCUGCUUACAAACUGACACAUUUGUGGAGCAAUUGUGGAGAAAUGAUAACGAAUUGAAAGUGUUAAGAAUUCAGCUAUUAUGUUAUAAAAUUUGCAACUUGAUUUGAUUAUCCACAGUGCUCCAUUGUCAUGAAUAACAUUUAGCAGAGUUGACUUUAUUUUCAAAUUCACAGAACCUCCAGCUGCUAACAGUCCUUGGCCCUUUGUCCGGUAAAACUUGACAGGCGCACAUGCACUAACACCUGGUUGCUGGAAAAUAUACCAUCUUUCCACAGGAUGGUUUCCGAUAGCUUUAGAAUUCCUGAAUGGGCAGGGAGAGAAUGAUUAAAAGAGAAUACCGUUAUACUGGGAGUGGAAGAAAAUAAGUAAUUAAAUUGUAAGCAUCCUGAUAAAUAAAAUGUAUUUAUCAUGUCUGUCCUCCUU
Molecule: long non-coding RNA, 497 nt
Organism: Pelobates fuscus (common spadefoot toad)
Lineage: Eukaryota; Metazoa; Chordata; Amphibia; Anura; Pelobatidae
Exons: 2
Source: RefSeq, a predicted model, not a curated record